AACUAAGAAAAGGACUCGAACCCAUAAUCAUAGAUCCUAAAUCUACCGCAGUAACCUUUUUGCUAUCUUAG
Molecule: transfer RNA, 71 nt
Filed under: Aquilonastra yairi
Lineage: Eukaryota; Metazoa; Echinodermata; Asteroidea; Valvatida; Asterinidae
Description: tRNA-Leu
Source: RNAcentral